Molecule: ribosomal RNA, 386 nt
Filed under: uncultured bacterium
Lineage: Bacteria
Description: bacterial SSU rRNA
Rfam family: Bacterial small subunit ribosomal RNA
Source: RNAcentral
AUUGAACGCUGGCGGCAUGCUUUACACAUGCAAGUCGAACGGCAGCGGGGGCUUCGGCCUGCCGGCGAGUGGCGAACGGGUGAGUAAUGCAUCGGAACGUACCCAGUCAUGGGGGAUAACUACGCGAAAGCGUAGCUAAUACCGCAUACGCCCUGAGGGGGAAAGCGGGGGAUCGCAAGACCUCGCGUGAUUGGAGCGGCCGAUGUCGGAUUAGCUAGUUGGUGGGGUAAAGCCUACCAAGGCGACGAUCCGUAGCGGGUCUGAGAGGAUGAUCCGCCACACUGGGACUGAGACACGGCCCAGACUCCUACGGGAGGCAGCAGUGGGGAAUUUUGGACAAUGGGCGCAAGCCUGUUCCAGCCAUGCCGCGUGAGUGAAGAAGGCCU